Ciona savignyi (Pacific transparent sea squirt) is the source of this 83-nucleotide non-coding RNA. The record is from Rfam. Lineage: Eukaryota; Metazoa; Chordata; Ascidiacea; Phlebobranchia; Cionidae.
ACUGGGUUGGCCAAGUGGUUAAGGCGUUGGACUUAAGUUCCAAUGGACAAGUGUCCGCGUGGGUUCGAACCCCAUACCCAGUA